This 205-nucleotide microRNA precursor is filed under the name Oryza rufipogon (brownbeard rice). Its description in RNAcentral is "MIR812 microRNA precursor family". It matches the Rfam family "MIR812 microRNA precursor family". Lineage: Eukaryota; Viridiplantae; Streptophyta; Magnoliopsida; Poales; Poaceae. The record is from Rfam by way of RNAcentral.
AAUAUAUGACGCCGUUGACUUUUUAUCUAACAUUUGACCAUUCGUUUUAUUUAAAAAUUUAUAUAAUUAUCAUUUAUUUCAUUGUGACUUGAUCAUCAUCAAAUGUUCUUUAAGCAUGACAUAAAUAUUUUCAUAUUUGCAAAAAAAAAAUUUAAAUAAAACGAAUGGUUAAACGUUAGUCAAAAAGUCAACGGCGUCAUACAUU